RNAcentral lists this ribosomal RNA (406 nucleotides) under uncultured bacterium. RNAcentral describes it as "partial 16S ribosomal RNA". It matches the Rfam family "Bacterial small subunit ribosomal RNA", at positions 30 to 526 of the family's 1533-position model. The record is from RNAcentral.
AUUGAACGCUAGCGGCAGGCCUAACACAUGCAAGUCGAACGAGUGGCGGACGGGUGAGUAAUGUCUGGGAAACUGCCCGAUGGAGGGGGACAACUACGGGAAACGGUAGCUAAUACCGCAUACCAUCGGAUGUGCCCAGAUGGGAUUAGCUUGUAGGUGGGGUAACGGCUCACCGAGGCGACGAGCCCUAGCUGGUCUGAGAGGAUGACCAGCCACACUGGAACUGAGACACGGUCCCGACUCCUACGGGAGGCAGCAGUGGGGAAUAUUGCACAAUGGGCGCAAGCCUGAUGCAGCCAGGCCGCGUGUAUGAAGAAGGCCUUCGGGUUGUAAAGUACUUUCAGCUGGAAGGCGUUACUCGCAGAAUAAGCACCGGCUAACUCCGUGCCAGCCGCCGCGGUAAUUC